This 819-nucleotide ribosomal RNA is filed under the name uncultured bacterium. RNAcentral's name for it is "bacterial SSU rRNA". It matches the Rfam family "Bacterial small subunit ribosomal RNA", at positions 28 to 896 of the family's 1533-position model. The record is from RNAcentral.
AACGAACGCUGGCGGCAGGCCUAACACAUGCAAGUCGAACGAACCUUUUAGGUGAGUGGCGCACGGGUGCGUAACACGUGGGAAUAUACAUUUCGGUAAGGAACAACACAGAGAAAUUUGUGCUAAUACCUUAUAAUGACUCCGGUCCAAAGAUUUAUCGCCGAAAGAUUAGCCCGCGUUAGAUUAGUUUGUUGGUGAGGUAAGAGCUCACCAAGACUACGAUCUAUAGGGGGUCUUAGAGGAUGAUCCCCCACACUGGAACUGAGACACGGUCCAGACUCCUACGGGAGGCAGCAGUGAGGAAUAUUGCGCAAUGGAGGAAACUCUGACGCAGCCAUGCCGCGUGAAUGAAGAAGGCCCUAGGGUUGUAAAAUUCUUUCAGAUGCGAAGAUAAUGACGGUAACAUCAGAAGAAGCUCCGGCUAAAUUCGUGCCAGCAGCCGCGGUAAUACGAAUGGAGCGAGCGUUGUUCGGAAUCAUUGGGCGUAAAGCGUAUGUAGGCGGACAGAAAAGUCAGAAGUGAAAUCCCAGGGCUCAACCCUGGAAUUGCUUUUGAAACUCUCUGUCUAGUAUCCCGGAGGGGUUGACGGAAUUCCGAGUGUAGAGGUGAAAUUCGCAGAUAUUCGGAGGAACACCAGUGGCGUAGGCGGUCAACUGGACGGGUAUAGACGCUGAGAUACGAAAGCGUGGGUAGCAAACAGGAUUAGAUACCCUGGUAGUCCACGCCGUAAACGAUGUGUGCUAGUUGUCGGGUCCAUAGGAUUCGGUGACGCAGCUAACGCACUAAGCACACCGCCUGGGGAGUACGGUCGCAAGAUUA